RNAcentral lists this long non-coding RNA (814 nucleotides) under Androctonus crassicauda. Lineage: Eukaryota; Metazoa; Arthropoda; Arachnida; Scorpiones; Buthidae. The record is from RNAcentral.
GAAGCAAAUUUCGACAAUUGAUAAUUUGAUCAAUUGGUUAAUUGAUAAUUUUGCUCAAAGAAAAGCUUGGAAAAUAAAAUUAUUGAAAAAAUGUGUUAUUGUAUUGAAAUAAAAAGUAUAAAAAUAUCUAAGGUUUUUUUAGAAUGUCACAAUUGUCUUUCCUAGUCAUAGGAACCAAAAUUCCUCACUACAUGCUCUGCUCACAAUGUCAUUCAUUUCUUACAUAUUCAAAUGCACUCCCCUUUCAAUAUGUUUUCACAAACACACCAACACAAACAAACAAACAAAACCUUAUAUCCGUACAUUUCACUUGGAAGCUCUUGUUCAUUCCCUUUCAUUCAUCUGUUCAUGUUCCACAUGUCCAAUAUCCAUUUGUAUUUCUGUUUCUACUCUGAUUUCCUAUUCAAUCCAGUUGUAAAUUCAUGUUUGACAGUCUGAUUAGAUUGAGUUCUGAAAAUCAUGAUUAUAAUUUUGCAAUGUUGAUAAUCAGCCAACAAUGAUAUUGUCUAGUGGAGGGACUGCUUCUUGAUGGUUCUACAUAACCCUGGGCAUCAUCUCUUUGUUAGGCUCCUAAUUCUGGCUAUUAUAACAAAGUUGAAUUUCCAUUAUUAAGAUCACUAGAAAAUACAAUCUCCUUGUGAGAUUUGGGCCCAAAGGAAGUCUUUUAUUACUGCUUGUGUAUGUAUGUGUGUGUGUGUGUGUGUGUGUGUGUGUGUGUUAUAUUUCUGAACAAAUAUUAAAAAAAACUGUUUAAAAUUUUUCUAAACAGUUUCCAUGAUGGUCUUGACUUCUGGGAAUUGUCCUCAUUUCAGAU